UACAGAGGUGGCAAGCGUUGUUCGGAUUCACUGGGCGUAAAGGGUGCGUAGGUGGCGAGGUAAGUCGGAUGUGAAAUCUCCGAGCUCAACUCGGAAAUGGCAUUGGAAACUACCUUGCUAGAGGGUCGGAGGGGGGACUGGAAUGCUUGGUGUAGCAGUGAAAUGCGUAGAUAUCAAGCGGAACACCGGUGGCGAAGGCGGCAUCCAGGACCAACACUGACACUGAGGAGCGAAAGCCAGGGGAGCAAACGGG
Molecule: ribosomal RNA, 253 nt
Filed under: uncultured bacterium
Lineage: Bacteria
Description: partial 16S ribosomal RNA
Rfam family: Bacterial small subunit ribosomal RNA
Source: RNAcentral